This 388-nucleotide ribosomal RNA is filed under the name Mallomonas elongata. RNAcentral describes it as "partial small subunit ribosomal RNA". It matches the Rfam family "Eukaryotic small subunit ribosomal RNA", at positions 30 to 432 of the family's 1831-position model. The record is from RNAcentral. Lineage: Eukaryota; Synurophyceae; Synurales; Mallomonadaceae.
GCUUGUCUCAAAGAUUAAGCCAUGCAUGUCUCAGUAUAAGCUUCUAUACGGUGAAACUGCGAAUGGCUCAUUAAAACAGUUACAGUUCAUUUGAUGGUUACUCCUUACAUGGAUAACUGUGGUAAUUCUAGAGCUAAUACAUGCGCCCAAACCUGACUCCGUGGAAGGGUUGUGUUUAUUAGAUGGAAACCAAUGCGGGGCAACCCGGAAUAUGGUGAUUCAUAAUAACUUUCGGAUCGUUUACGAUGCAUCAUUCAAGUUUCUGCCCUAUCAGCUUUGGAUGGUAGGGUAUUGGCCUACCAUGGCUUUAACGGGUAACGGAGAAUUAGGGUUCGAUUCCGGAGAGGGAGCCUGAGAAAUGGCUACCACAUCCAAGGAAGGCAGCAGG